Molecule: ribosomal RNA, 456 nt
Filed under: uncultured bacterium
Lineage: Bacteria
Description: bacterial SSU rRNA
Rfam family: Bacterial small subunit ribosomal RNA
Source: RNAcentral
CCUACGGGAGGCAGCAGUGGGGAAUAUUGGACAAUGGGCGCAAGCCUGAUCCAGCCAUGCCGCGUGAGUGAUGAAGGCCUUCGGGUUGUAAAGCUCUUUUGGCGGGGACGAUAGUGACGGUACCCGCAGGAUAAGCCCCGGCUAACUUCGUGCCAGCAGCCGCGGUAAUACGAAGGGGGCUAGCGUUGUUCGGAAUCACUGGGCGUAAAGCGCACGUAGGCGGAUCUAUAAGUCAGGGGUGAAAUCCCGGGGCUCAACCUCGGAACUGCCUUUGAUACUGUGGGUCUUGAGUUCGAUAGAGGUGAGUGGAAUUCCUAGUGUAGAGGUGAAAUUCGUAGAUAUUAGGAAGAACACCGGUGGCGAAGGCGGCUCACUGGAUCGAUACUGACGCUGAGGUGCGAAAGCUGGGGAGCAAACAGGAUUAGAUACCCUGGUAGUCCACGCCGUAAACUAUGG